GAGGAAUUGAUUACUACAGAGACAGCCGAGGACAAGGAAGUGACCUUGCUGAGGUUCAAGCAUCAGAAGAUGGAGUGACUGCAGGCAAGGAGAGGGACAGAGUGGCAAGAGGACAGGAGGGGAGGAGACACUGAACUGACAACUUGCUGCACAUUUUGGAUUCAGAACCAUGUGAAGAGUUACCUAUCAAAGCCGUGAGAUGAGGACACUGAGGCACAGA
Molecule: long non-coding RNA, 220 nt
Organism: Enhydra lutris kenyoni (northern sea otter)
Lineage: Eukaryota; Metazoa; Chordata; Mammalia; Carnivora; Mustelidae
Exons: 3
Source: RefSeq, a predicted model, not a curated record